GUGUCGAUUUUAUCGAAGCAAUGCGUGUGUGUGUGUGUGCGCGUGUGUGCAUGUGUGAACGUUACAAGUAUCUGACUGGCCAGGGACUGCUGCCCAGCCUCAACGGAAAGACCGCCUAACUUCUCUCCCGCGGACGGGAGAGGGGCGCGAGGGGCCUCUGCUCCCCCCCUAAGCAGCCGAGAGCCUCAGGUCCGCUAGUUCCGCUCUCCCCUCCCCCGGGGGUGGGAGGCGUCGCAUGCGCGCACGCUCUCACGAGUCAAGAGGCUCCGUCACGCGAGUUUUCGUUCAUUGAGCCUCUGAAACAGGCUACAAGACUCCCCCCCUCUCCCUCCCCGGCCUGAUCCGGCUCUUGGGGUGAGGGUUCACUAAGACAGAGGAAACCCGGAAACCCUGUACAUACCCUACCGCUCCCUAUUAAGGCACGAGCCCCUAACAUAAAGCUCGGUAUCUCAUCCGAUCCUGCGUUGCGGGGGAGGGGGAGCGGGUAGGGUUCAAGAAACUCGUGCUAACCACCUAUCGAGUGCACGCGAUGGGGCCCUGGGCACGGACUAGGCUAGCAGCUAUCAGUUCACCGUCGGGGCUAGGGAUGCCUUGAGGCAGCACCACACCAGCGGUGCGUGCGUGCGUGUGUAUGUAUGUGUGUAUGUGUGUAUGUGCUUACCUGUCUGCUUAUGUGUGCAUGUUUAUCUGUCUGUCGAUUAGUACGUGUUGCGCAUACUAGGAGUACAUACUCGUAUUUGGUUCGCCGGCCGGGCAGCGAGGGGGCCGGUAGCUUGGUUAAGGAAACCCAACACGCUCACACUCCGCUUUCCUUUCAUCUCCGUACUGUAAAUGAAAUUUAUGAUGGAAUUCAAAAAAGGGAGAAUGGAGGAAAGCAAAAGAAAGUAGCGCUCUGCUGAAUUUACAACUCGGUAACGGCGUUUUUGUUGGUGUCAUUUGCGACUCUUUAUUAAGGUUCAUUAGGACGCAUCUGGGUGACGGGUGACUCGAUUUGGUGUAUCCGCGCGCACAUCCCCCCAUGGCACUUGUCAGGUUCAGGAGCACCAUGCUUCUUCGCCAUCAUCUUCACCUCCGUCAGGUCUUGCGUGUGUCGUGGUGCAAUAUGUCCUGCAAUGUGUCCCUUAAUAUGGAAGGCCGCUCAUGUCCCUUAAUAUAUGGAAGGCCGCAUCGUAAGGUGUUCUAAAGUGGGCAUGCGUGUAGGUUUGUGUUGUUGUAAAUAGUCGCGGGCUGUAGUCGCGAUGGCAAGUGGAGGUAUGAAAGACCUGGCGGUGUGAUAGGAGUUUCCGGUCGUCGUUGCUGGUGAUGUGAUAGUGCAGCGUUCCAUGUCCGAUGCUGAAGUGUGAGGAGGUGGAAGGCAUGUACGUCGUCUCUGUCCUGUGGUGUUCUAUUGAUUGCACAUGUUCUAUAAUUAAUAAUGAUCCUCGCUUUUGUGCGCAUGUAUCGCGAGGCCGACAAAUUACAAUUACCUGUGAGGCUGCGGUAACUCGCAAAAUGUCGUAUGGAGGCCUUAACCAGGUCGCG
RNAcentral lists this long non-coding RNA (1521 nucleotides) under Volvox carteri. RNAcentral describes it as "long non-coding RNA (VCAR_LNC000267)". The record is from RNAcentral. Lineage: Eukaryota; Viridiplantae; Chlorophyta; Chlorophyceae; Chlamydomonadales; Volvocaceae.